Molecule: transfer RNA, 75 nt
Filed under: Mus musculus (house mouse)
Lineage: Eukaryota; Metazoa; Chordata; Mammalia; Rodentia; Muridae
Description: tRNA-Ser
Source: RNAcentral
GUGGAGGGAUGGCUCAGGGGUUAAGAGCACUGACUGCUCCUCCAGUGGUCCUGAGUUCAAUUCCCAGCAACCACA